CGACGAGGGACCUCGAUGUUCUAACCGCGCGUCGCGCGUGGGGGCAGCACGGCGCCCUGAAGACCCUGUGAAAUCCCCAGCCUGCCCAGGGCCUGGCGCGCACCCGCGUGGACGCGGCGAUCCGGGGGGGUGGGGGUCCCCCUGCCCACGCCUGGCGCCCGCACCCGGAGCCGGGAACCCGCCGCUCACCUUCUCCACCGACUCCCCGCUUCACCGAGCGGUUCAACCGCCGAAGUUUCAGCUCCGCCCCAGAUCCGGCCUUCUCACUUCUGAUUGGCUCGACCUCAGCCGCAGCCGUAUUUCCAUAGGUCAAAAGUGACGCCCGUCACUCUGUCCCGCCCCCGCUGGAGAGCCAGCCUCCCCGAGCUUGCUAUUAGUCUACUGGGGAGAAGCGUUCCUAAGCGGGCGGGGAGACCUCCCCGGCGUCGGUCGUCUCUCUGAUGAUUAUUGGCUAGGCAUCCUGCCAAUCACAGAAAAAGGGUGGGCCCUGGAGUGGGCGGAGGGAGGAUCCCGGAAGUAACAUCUUGACUCCGCCUACCGCGCCCCCUUUCUCCCCCGCCCCGUGUCAGGGCAGGCCGCGCCCACACGGAAGGGCGAGGCGGAACCGAGUGUCGUGCACGCGCGGGGGAAGAUCCUGUUCUCCAAGUCCGAAACCUCCAAAGAUGUUCUCAACUCUUAAGGACAAAUCUAGAUUUUUUUUCCAGCGCUCAGUGUAUGCCUAAGCCUAUCCUGAUCGCUUUGCUAGUGCUUGAGUGCUUUGUUAGUGCGUGAGUCUGGUGUUUGUGAGGCAGAAACUCAAGCAGCCCAAGCUGAUCUCCCCAACACCCUUGGACUCCUGACCGUCCUGCCUCCACCUCCCCGGUCCUGGGACUCCAGGAGGUCUACCACCGCGCCCCGCCCGGCGUGGCGUCGGCUUCAUUAAUUCUCAAACAGCGCAACAAACUGUACUCCCAGGAUCGCUCUCAAGAAAACGGAAAACAAACGGACAAACAUCGACAGGAAUGGUCACAGCAGCGUUAUGUAUUGCAGCCAUGCUAUGUAAACAGCCUGAAUGUGCAUCCAAGGAUGAUCAGCUGGUUCCAGGAGUUCAGUUCAGUGUUUAGCUGUGGGUGUCUGCCUCUGCUUCCAUCAGCC
Long non-coding RNA from Mesocricetus auratus (golden hamster), 1134 nucleotides. RefSeq lists it as uncharacterized. The record is from RefSeq and is a predicted model, not a curated record. The transcript is spliced from 3 exons. NCBI's taxonomy places the organism in Eukaryota, Metazoa, Chordata, Mammalia, Rodentia, Cricetidae.